GAUGAACGCUGGCGGCGUGCCUAAUACAUGCAAGUCGAGCGAACGGACGAGAAGCUUGCUUCUCUGAUGUUAGCGGCGGACGGGUGAGUAACACGUGGACAACCUACCUAUAUGACUGGGAUAACUUCGGGAAACCGGAGCUAAUACCGGAUAAUAUUUUGAACCGCAUGGUUCAAAAGUGAAAGACGGUCUUGCUGUCACUUAUAGAUGGAUCCGCGCUGCAUUAGCUAGUUGGUAAGGUAACGGCUUACCAAGGCAACGAUGCAUAGCCGACCUGAGAGGGGGAAGGGCCACACUGGAACUGAGACACGGUCCUGACUCCUACGGGAGGCAGCAGUAGGGAAUCUUCCGCGAUGGGCGGAAGCCUGACGGAGCAACGCCGCGUGAGUGAUGAAGGGCUUCGGAUCGUAAAACUCUGUUAUUAGGGAAGAACAUAUGUGUAAGUAACUGUGCACAUCUUGACGGUACCUAAUCAGAAAGCCACGGCUAACUACGUG
RNAcentral lists this ribosomal RNA (497 nucleotides) under uncultured bacterium. RNAcentral's name for it is "partial 16S ribosomal RNA". It matches the Rfam family "Bacterial small subunit ribosomal RNA", at positions 28 to 507 of the family's 1533-position model. The record is from RNAcentral.